Molecule: ribosomal RNA, 492 nt
Filed under: uncultured archaeon
Lineage: Archaea
Description: bacterial SSU rRNA
Rfam family: Archaeal small subunit ribosomal RNA
Source: RNAcentral
UUCUGGUUGAUCCCGCCGGACCCUACUGCUAUCGGGGUGGGACUAAGACAUGCGAGUCGAGCGUCUCUAGCUAUGUUGAGACGCGGCAUACGGCUCAGUAACACGUGGUUAACCUACCCUCAGGACAGGGACAAACCCGGGAAACUGGGGCUAAUACCUGAUAGGCGAGGACGCCUGGAAUGGUUCUUCACCUAAAGGGCUUGAAAACAUGCUUUCAAGUCGCCUGGGGAUGGGGCCGCGUCCGAUCAGGUUGUUGGUGAGGUAAUGGCUCACCAAGCCUAUAACCGGUACGGGCCGUGAGAGCGGUAGCCCGGAGAUGGGUACUGAGACAAGGACCCAGGCCCUACGGGGCGCAGCAGUCGCGAAAACUCCGCAAUGCACGAAAGUGUGACGGGGCUACCCCGAGUGCCGUCCGCUGAGGACGGCUUUUCCUUGGUGUAACUAGCCGGGGGAAUAAGGAGAGGGCAAGACUGGUGUCAGCCGCCGCGGUAA